GUGCCCGUAGCUCAGCUGGAUAGAGCUUUGGAUUGCGGAUCCAACGGUCGGAGGUUCAAAUCCUCUCGGGCACG
Molecule: transfer RNA, 74 nt
Filed under: Patescibacteria group bacterium
Lineage: Bacteria
Description: tRNA-Arg
Rfam family: tRNA
About the family: Transfer RNA (tRNA) molecules are approximately 80 nucleotides in length. Their secondary structure includes four short double-helical elements and three loops (D, anti-codon, and T loops). Further hydrogen bonds mediate the characteristic L-shaped molecular structure. tRNAs have two regions of fundamental functional importance: the anti-codon, which is responsible for specific mRNA codon recognition, and the 3' end, to which the tRNAs corresponding amino acid is attached (by aminoacyl-tRNA synthetases). tRNAs cope with the degeneracy of the genetic code in two manners: having more than one tRNA (with a specific anti-codon) for a particular amino acid; and 'wobble' base-pairing, i.e. permitting non-standard base-pairing at the 3rd anti-codon position.
Source: RNAcentral